Pelobates cultripes (western spadefoot toad) is the source of this 407-nucleotide non-coding RNA. NCBI's taxonomy places the organism in Eukaryota, Metazoa, Chordata, Amphibia, Anura, Pelobatidae. The record is from the annotation of a GenBank genome assembly.
UUCAGCUUAAUGAAGUGGUCUGGGUGUCAGGUCCAGCUAGGUUUAACCCAUUUUUUCAUAAACAUAGCAGUUUCAGAGAAACUGCUAUGUUUAUGAAUGGGUUAAGCCUUCCCCUAUUUCCUCUAGUGGCUGUCUCAUUGACAGCCACUAGAGGCGCUUUCGUGCUUCUCACUGUGAUUUUCACAGUGAGAAGACGCCAGUGUCCAUAGGAAAGCAUUCAUAAUGCGACCGGCUGAAUGCGCGCGCAGCUCUUGCCGCGCGUGCGCAUUCAGCCCAGGAGGAGGAUCGGAGGAGGAGAGCUCUCCGCCCAGCGCUGGAAAAAGGUAAGUUUUUACCCCUUUCCCCCUUCCAGAGCCGGGUGGGAGGGGGUCCCUGAGGGUGGGGGCACCCUCAGGGCACUAUAGUGC